This is a long non-coding RNA of Oncorhynchus keta (chum salmon), 305 nucleotides long. RefSeq lists it as uncharacterized. The transcript has 3 exons. The record is from RefSeq and is a predicted model, not a curated record. NCBI's taxonomy places the organism in Eukaryota, Metazoa, Chordata, Actinopteri, Salmoniformes, Salmonidae.
AAGACAGCGGGAGAGUUGUACGGUAGUUUCCCUCCCCUGAACGAUAACUAAGAGGUAGGUGAGAAGCCUGACCACGGAGAGGAGGGGUGAGAAGGUGAUGAAGCAGUACUUCGUGAGCUGUCACCGAUGAAAACCGGCAUUUGGAAAGUUUGAAGAGGAGGAGGGAUGGAGGUAGGGACUCCUCUACGACCUCUCAGCCUACCUCGCCUGGAGAGUCUCUACAUUGGAACAGGAACAGGGGAUGUAGAGAGGUGUGUGUAUCCCAUCUUCGCUGGCUCCAGUCUCUCCCCCACCAGCCUGCUGUC